Long non-coding RNA from Sorghum bicolor (sorghum), 847 nucleotides. RefSeq lists it as uncharacterized. The record is from RefSeq and is a predicted model, not a curated record. NCBI's taxonomy places the organism in Eukaryota, Viridiplantae, Streptophyta, Magnoliopsida, Poales, Poaceae. The transcript has 3 exons.
CCCGGCCGCUCCGCUCGCCCGGCCGCGCCGCUCGCCCACCGCACCCGGCCGCGCCCACAGCGCAGAGGACGACGUCCUCAACAUCCUCGGUGAAAGCUUCAGCUGCGCCUUCUGCUUGGAGCUGCUGGAUCGCCCUGUCACUGCUGGAUGUGCUUUCGCGAUUUGUUCCCAGUCCGAUCCGUCUGCUUGGUCUGAUCUCUUGCAUCCCCACGGAUCUGCGUUCCUCUUCACAAGAGUAGAGCUGUUGGAGGGUAGCCGGAGCACCUAGACGACCCUGUCGGCGCUGCGGUCUUACCUACACUGCGCUUCUCAUUAUUCAAAUAUUCAAAUAUUAUUCGAAUAUUAUGGUAAUGUUGUAGGCCCAGGUCCAGGCUUUAGAGGCCCAGCGGGAGGCCGAUCGACAGAGGAUAGAGGCUAUGGAGGUCCAGCGUAUGGAGGAGCAGCAUCGACAACAACAGCAGAUGGCGGAGAUUCUACGGUACAUGCAAUCUCUUGGGCAACAUACGGGUUUAGCUGCGCCACCUUCGCUAUUUGCUAUUCCUCCACCUCCACCUCCACCUUCCGCGCGCGGUACUCCUCCUCCAUCCGCCGGUUCGAAUAUUCCAGGUCAUGGUACACCACAGUCGCAGUGGGGACCUUGGGGAGCCGGGUAGUUCUCUUUGCAUGUGUUUGUUCGGUUGGUACACCACAGUCGCAGUGUCAUGGUACAACACAGUCGCAGUUCUCUUACAAUGCACUUGUGUUACUUAUUUGGACUUGUGAUGGACUUGUGGAUUUAUUUAGAUGGACUUGUAAUGAACUUGUGGAUUUGUACUUAUGGAUUUGUUUAAAUGUGACAUUUAUGUGA